CGAGUUGGCGCGGGAGAGUGCGACCCCCAAGGGGUGGCCACCGAAGGCGUAAUGCCCGAAAUCGCUCAGGUUCCCGAACCGCACCGACGUU
This 91-nucleotide non-coding RNA is filed under the name beta proteobacterium AAP99. Its description in RNAcentral is "Glycine riboswitch aptamer". It matches the Rfam family "Glycine riboswitch aptamer". Rfam says of the family: This family represents the bacterial glycine riboswitch. Glycine riboswitches usually consist of two metabolite-binding aptamers domains with similar structures in tandem. RNAcentral also lists the same sequence under 1 other name. Lineage: Bacteria; Pseudomonadati; Pseudomonadota; Betaproteobacteria. The record is from Rfam by way of RNAcentral.